RNAcentral lists this ribosomal RNA (999 nucleotides) under Triticum aestivum (bread wheat). Its description in RNAcentral is "partial small subunit ribosomal RNA". The record is from RNAcentral. Lineage: Eukaryota; Viridiplantae; Streptophyta; Magnoliopsida; Poales; Poaceae.
AUGCAGGAGGUUAGUAGCCAAUUAGCUACUGCUGGCGCUAUUGACGGGCACAAUUGGUUGUACCCUGUAGUCUAUGGAGUUAUCGACUCGGAAACUACUGAAAGUUGGGUGUGGUUUAUGGAGAAGCUUCGUGAAACUAUUGGCUCUCCCCCCGGUCUAGCUAUAUGUUCAGAUGCAGGAAAAGGGAUUGACACUGCAAUCGAACAGGUAUUCGGGUAUGCUGAACAUAGAGAAUGCAUGUGACACUUGGUUCUGAACUUCAAGAAAAUAUUCCAUGGUAAAGUUUUUGAUGAUCAUUUGUGGUCAGCUGCUUAUUCAUGGACUCCUCGAGGGUUUGACUAUCACAUGGCAGCCAUAGAGGAGAAAAUGGCUGCUGCAAUAGCAUACUUAAACAAGUACCACAACAGGCUAUGGUCAAGGAGCAAAUAUUCAACCUCCUCAAAAGUGGAUUAUGUGACAAAUAAUUUGGCCGAGUGUUUCAACAACUGGAUCUGCAAGCACAAAGGUUUAAUGUUGUUCCAGCUCAUGGACAAGAUAAGGAGAAAGAUUACGGUUAAGUUUGAGAAGAGGAGAGCUAGAAAAUUUCAAGGUCGGCGUAUACUUCCAAGUGUCAUGAAGGAGUUGAAUGACAUAAGGAGGCUGGACAUUGAAUAUGAGAGAAUAGAUGACAUGAUUGCAGAGGUGAGUGAGAAGGGUGAUAAGGUUUUUGGGGAGCGCUCAGCGCGACUACUGACUACUUCAUCACGGACGCCCCGGACUCCGACGACUACUUCCCCGACGACAACUUCUUCCCCGACGUCGACAACCUUCUCGACGACAUGGCUGGCGAGGACACCGACCCCAAGUCCAGUGCUACUGCUCCUGCUGUCCCGUACGUGUUCUUGCUCUUUUUCUGUUAGAUGUCCUCUCGCAGUUCUUUGCUCUAGUGUCUGUCCUACAUAUGUUAGGUUCUACGCCAUAUAUGCAACCUGUUCUACUAUCUGCUUUAGACAUGUUUAG